This 495-nucleotide ribosomal RNA is filed under the name uncultured bacterium. RNAcentral describes it as "partial 16S ribosomal RNA". It matches the Rfam family "Bacterial small subunit ribosomal RNA", at positions 36 to 507 of the family's 1533-position model. The record is from RNAcentral.
UCCUCCCUCUGUCGGCGUGCCUAAUACAUGCAAGUAGAACGCUGAAGGAGGAGCUUGCUCUUCUGGAUGAGUUGCGAACGGGUGAGUAACGCGUAGGUAACCUGCCUGGUAGCGGGGGAUAACUAUUGGAAACGAUAGCUAAUACCGCAUAACAGUAGAUGUUGCAUGACAUUUGCUUAAAAGGUGCAAUUGCACCACUACCAGAUGGACCUGCGUUGUAUUAGCUAGUUGGUGGGGUAACGGCUCACCAAGGCGACGAUACAUAGCCGACCUGAGAGGGUGAUCGGCCACACUGGGACUGAGACACGGCCCAGACUCCUACGGGAGGCAGCAGUAGGGAAUCUUCGGCAAUGGACGGAAGUCUGACCGAGCAACGCCGCGUGAGUGAAGAAGGUUUUCGGAUCGUAAAGCUCUGUUGUAAGAGAAGAACGAGUGUGAGAGUGGAAAGUUCACACUGUGACGGUAUCUUACCAGAAAGGGACGGCUAACUACGUG